RNAcentral lists this long non-coding RNA (349 nucleotides) under Equus caballus (horse). RNAcentral's name for it is "lncRNA (ENSECAG00000057851.1)". Lineage: Eukaryota; Metazoa; Chordata; Mammalia; Perissodactyla; Equidae. The record is from RNAcentral.
UGACAAGAAUAUAAAAGUUGGUAACCUAGAGGCGCUUCAUUGUGAAACCAUUUGGACAGCUCACAUUCGGGUGUUACGGCAGAGGAAUGAUAAGGAAAGAGGAGCUUGGAGAAAGCAGACACGGUCCUUCUAAGAUAAAGGCAGACGGAGAUCUGAGGCACAUAAGGAGAAGAGGAGAAGGCCGUGUGGAGACAGAGGCAGAGACUGAAGUUACGCCGUCACAAGCUAAGAACACCUGGAGCCACCAGAAGCCGGGAGAGGCAAGGAGGGACUCUCCCCGGGACCGACCUUCCGAGGGAGGCUUCAUGUCAGAGUCGCGUCUCCAGAACUGUGAGAGAACACAUUUCUG